UUUAUAUUUAUUUAUUUCGAUUUAUAUUUAUUUAUUUCGAUUUUUAUUUAUUUAUUUCAAUUUUUAUUUCGAUUUUUAUUUAUUUAUUUCAAUUUUUAUUCAUUUAUUUCAACUUUUAUUUAUUUAUUUCAAUUUUUAUUUAUUUAUUUCAACUUUUAUUUAUUUCACUUUUUAUUUAUUUCAUUCUUGCACUCUUGUUCCUCUGGAGGUGCAACCAUGCAAUAAUUUUAUCUGUCACGUUUGCUCGUCAAAGUUUCUAACGUCUGAUUGGUUGCUCAGCAAAGCAAGUCUUAACUAGUCGAUCUCAGAUAAUAGAUUGACGCCUGAGACGGUUCUUGUCUCGUGACGUUUCUGGCGCAAUGCAUUGUGGGUUUUCGUGUAUUGCAGAACAACAACAAGCCCGCGACGUGAUCCUUUGCUAGGCAUCCAUUCUGCGUGGUAAUCGUUGAAAAUGGUACACUCGUGUUGUGUGAAAGACUGCCAUUCUAGGUCCCAUGAUAGAAACGAAUGCAAAAAGGAUGGGAUACGUUUUUUUUAGCAUUCCCGCCUGGAAGAGAAGAUAUGGAACUCAGAUGAGUUGACCAAGAGGCUUCGAAUGGUUGCAGCGGUGAGAAGAAAGGCCAUCACUUUUUAUUCAUCAACUGAAAACAUCUCGGUCUGUUCCCGACAUUUCCAUAAAGGAAAACCAGCAUAUGAAAUAAAUGAGGCAGACCCUGACUGGGCACCAUCCUUACGCCUGGACACACAUGUGUUCAGCCCACCAACGUGGACCGCUCUUCUAGGCGAAGUAGGCGUGAGAAAUUGAGGAUGGAGGAAGACGUUGGUGAGCUACAGGAGGAGCCGUCAGCACCCUUUAGAUGCUCCUUCUGACCUUCAUGUGCCUGCGUUUGGACCUGCCUACACUACACAUUGCACACAUAUUCCAUGUUUCCCGUAAGACUGUGUAUUGAGUGUUCAGUGGCAUGGUGCCCUUUUUACAUGCUAACUUGAGACGAGCAAUUGUUUGGCCCAACAGAGAAACACUCUAUAAAACAAUGCCUCACGAGUUUGUUGAGUUCUUCAGACGCAGAGUUGCAGUGAUUAUUGAGUUUUUUGAAAUUUUUACAGAGAAACCAUCAAAUCUUAAGGCGCAUGCGCAAAUGUUUUCUAGUUACAAGCAUAACUACACCAUGAAAUACCUAACUGGAAUCACACAAAAGGGGGGAAUUUGUUUGAUGUCAAAAGGUUGGGGUGGUCGCACAAGUGACAAACAUAUCACCUUGAACAGUGCUUUUUUUAAUAACUUUUUGCCCGGGGACAUUGUCUUGACUGACAGAGGCUUUGAUAUUCAAGAACAUGUGGGUAUGUUAUGUGCAGAGGUCAAACUCCCUGCGUUCACAAAAGGUCGCUGUCAGUUAGCUGGUAGAGAUGUGGAGGAGACUAGGAAGAUAGCACAUUUGAGGAUUCAUGUUGAACGGGUAAUUGGUAAUCUUUGCCAGAAGUAUAAGAUCCAACAGGAACUAUACCUAUUAACUUGGUUCUGCCAUGUGACGGCGAAGAUUGCACAUUGUUGGAUAAGAUUGUUUAUGUAUGCGGUGCCCUUACAAACCUUUGCCCAACUGUUGUGUAGUUUGUACUGUUAUGACAUUUAUUAUGCUAACCGUUUCAGCCUUUCAAACUUAGCUGUUAUUGAUAUUUUGUAUUUUGUUGUGACUUGAUUGUAUUUAAUAAAAAAUAUUAAGUCAUCUUGAA
This is a long non-coding RNA of Corythoichthys intestinalis (scribbled pipefish), 1731 nucleotides long. RefSeq lists it as uncharacterized. The record is from RefSeq and is a predicted model, not a curated record. NCBI's taxonomy places the organism in Eukaryota, Metazoa, Chordata, Actinopteri, Syngnathiformes, Syngnathidae. The transcript is spliced from 2 exons.